Molecule: ribosomal RNA, 497 nt
Filed under: uncultured bacterium
Lineage: Bacteria
Description: partial 16S ribosomal RNA
Rfam family: Bacterial small subunit ribosomal RNA
Source: RNAcentral
GAUGAACGCUGGCGGCGUGCCUAAUACAUGCCAGUCGAGCGAACAGACGAGGAGCUUGCUCCUCUGACGUUAGCGGCGGACGGGUGAGUAACACGUGGAUAACCUACCUAUAAGACUGGGAUAACUUCGGGAAACCGGAGCUAAUACCGGAUAAUAUAUUGAACCGCAUGGUUCAAUAGUGAAAGACGGUUUUGCUGUCACUUAUAGAUGGAUCCGCGCCGCAUUAGCUAGUUGGUAAGGUAACGGCUUACCAAGGCAACGAUGCGUAGCCGACCUGAGAGGGUGAUCGGCCACACUGGAACUGAGACACGGUCCAGACUCCUACGGGAGGCAGCAGUAGGGAAUCUUCCGCAAUGGGCGAAAGCUUGACGGAGCAACGCCGCGUGAGUGAUGAAGGUCUUCGGAUCGUAAAACUCUGUUAUUAGGGAAGAACAAAUGUGUAAGUAACUAUUCACGUCUUGACGGUACCUAAUCAGAAAGCCACGGCUAACUACGUG